This 388-nucleotide unclassified non-coding RNA is filed under the name Hevea brasiliensis (rubber tree). The record is from RNAcentral. Lineage: Eukaryota; Viridiplantae; Streptophyta; Magnoliopsida; Malpighiales; Euphorbiaceae.
UCUUGCAACAUCUCCUGGCAUGUUAGAGACAAAGCCACCUCUGUCCUCAAUACUUCCUCGCUCGGUGUUUGGCUCGUGAUCAAUAGACAUUUGCACCUCCUGCCCUUUUUUCGAAAGGACUGCACGUGAAUCUCCAACAUUAGCCACCCAUAAUUUCUGACCGUUUAUCAAAAUUGCAGUGACAGCGGUGGAUCCACCUCUUCCUAAGUCAGGACUGUGUGAGAGUAUUGCUUGGUCUGUCUUCUCGUAAGCCUUAAAGAUAGAGCUACCGGGAUUCGACCAGAAUUCCUCAUCCUUCAGUAUAUUAGGAAAUAGAUGCUUCUGUAGAUAGGCAGGUACGCUAUCUCCUAAAUGUCCAUCAUAUAUAGCAAAAAGGCCUAGCUCCCGG